Molecule: long non-coding RNA, 311 nt
Filed under: Leguminivora glycinivorella
Lineage: Eukaryota; Metazoa; Arthropoda; Insecta; Lepidoptera; Tortricidae
Description: uncharacterized LOC125242390
Source: RNAcentral
GUUGGACCGUCUUCCAUAUAUCUACUGACUUCAUAUAAAUGAAAGUCUCGCUGAUCUGCACUACCAGCUCGUUCAACGUUACUGAACAACAAAGUAAUCCGACAAUCAGACUGGACCCGGUCACGUUAGAUACCAGUGGAAGGAGAUGAACAUACAAUUGACUCCGCAUCGAUGCAUGACUUCGCCCGGAACGCGGCAAGAAAAAAACAAUGGAAGAAAAUACUACAGACGUGUUUAUUAACAAUAAAGUUAUUUUUGUUUUUAUGAAAUAGCGAUUGAAUAAAAAUAUUAGGUAUAUGAGUUUUAUUUAG